CUUUUAUGACAGCAAAAAUGCGGGAAGAAUACAGAGAUCAGAUACUGAAGGAGGAAGGACUUCAUAUAAAUGAUAUAAAGAAAAUGAUAGGAGAGAAGUAUAACCCCUCUUUGUGGGAGAAAAAGAAGUCGACCCAACACAGGACAUUAUCUCGUAGUUCUACACCUAUGUCAAGCAUGACCAAUCUCUCUCUCUCAUGUUCCUCAAUUUAUG
This is a long non-coding RNA of Penaeus indicus, 213 nucleotides long. RefSeq lists it as uncharacterized. Lineage: Eukaryota; Metazoa; Arthropoda; Malacostraca; Decapoda; Penaeidae. The record is from RefSeq and is a predicted model, not a curated record. The transcript is spliced from 3 exons.